Ornithodoros turicata is the source of this 384-nucleotide long non-coding RNA. RefSeq lists it as uncharacterized. Lineage: Eukaryota; Metazoa; Arthropoda; Arachnida; Ixodida; Argasidae. The transcript has 3 exons. The record is from RefSeq and is a predicted model, not a curated record.
CACUUCGCUCUAUGGUUGCUGGUGCUGAGAAAUGCCUCGAUGACAUUUUCAUUGUUAAAAAUGGACUAUGGAAACAAGAUCAGUCAACAUGUGUGAGUGCACCUUCACCAAUCCCACAAAUGCCUCUGCUCUCACGAAUUUAUUACCCUUGGGAGAGCCUCCGCAAGACAGUACUUGAUGCAUUGGAAGCAGACAAUGUUCUGCUUCCCUCUCAACGACAGGAAGUGGCACACAUGGCAGCGUCAUGGCCCUGCAUAUCCAUUGAAGGCACCUGGUUGGUAUCAUUGAAAAUGAAGGGAGCCAGCAGGCAGAAAAAAAUCAAGAGGGCUACAUACAUAAAUGCGUAAGGCAAUGAGGGCCGCAGAUGAAUAUAGCAAGAAGUGG